GGGGCAUUGGCGCAGUUGGCUAGCGCGCCUGCAUGGCAUGCAGGAGGUCAGGAGUUCGAAUCUCCUAUGCUCCACCA
RNAcentral lists this transfer RNA (77 nucleotides) under Candidatus Saccharimonadota bacterium. Its description in RNAcentral is "tRNA-Ala". It matches the Rfam family "tRNA". From Rfam's summary of the family: Transfer RNA (tRNA) molecules are approximately 80 nucleotides in length. RNAcentral also lists the same sequence under 2 other names. The record is from RNAcentral. Lineage: Bacteria; Candidatus Saccharimonadota.